UACGUAGGGGGCAAGCGUUGUCCGGAUUUAUUGGGCGUAAAGAGCGUGUAGGCGGCCAGAUAAGUCCGCUGUGAAAUCUCGAGGCUCAACUUCGAGCUGUCGGUGGAAACUAUCUGGCUAGAGUCCGGAAGAGGAGAAUGGAAUUCCUGGUGUAGCGGUGAAAUGCGCAGAUAUCAGGAAGAACACCAACGGCGAAGGCAGCUCGCUAGGACGGUACUGACGCUGAGACGCGAAAGCGUGGGGAGCGAACAGG
Molecule: ribosomal RNA, 253 nt
Filed under: uncultured bacterium
Lineage: Bacteria
Description: partial 16S ribosomal RNA
Rfam family: Bacterial small subunit ribosomal RNA
Source: RNAcentral